UACGUAGGGGGCAAGCGUUGUCCGGAAUCAUUGGGCGUAAAGAGCGUGUAGGUGGCCUUACAGGUCAGCUGUGAAAACUCGAGGCUCAACCUCGAGACGUCGGUUGAAACCGUAAGGCUAGAGUCCGGAAGAGGAGAGUGGAAUUCCCGGUGUAGCGGUGAAAUGCGCAGAUAUCGGGAAGAACACCCGUGGCGAAGGCGGCUCUCUGGGACGGUACUGACGCUGAGACGCGAAAGCGUGGGGAGCGAACAGG
This 253-nucleotide ribosomal RNA is filed under the name uncultured bacterium. RNAcentral's name for it is "partial 16S ribosomal RNA". It matches the Rfam family "Bacterial small subunit ribosomal RNA", at positions 524 to 776 of the family's 1533-position model. The record is from RNAcentral.